UACAGAGGUCCCAAGCGUUGUUCGGAUUCACUGGGCGUAAAGGGUGCGUAGGUGGUGGGGUAAGUUUGAUGUGAAAGCUCCGAGCUUAACUCGGAAAUGGCAUUGAAUACUAUCCUGCUUGAGGUUUGGAGGGGGGACUGGAAUUCUCGGUGUAACAGUGAAAUGCGUAGAUAUCGAGAGGAACACCAGUGGCGAAGGCGAGUCCCUGGACAACACCUGACACUGAGGCACGAAAGCUAGGGGAGCAAACAGG
Molecule: ribosomal RNA, 253 nt
Filed under: uncultured bacterium
Lineage: Bacteria
Description: partial 16S ribosomal RNA
Rfam family: Bacterial small subunit ribosomal RNA
Source: RNAcentral